UACGUAGGGGGCAAGCGUUGUCCGGAAUCAUUGGGCGUAAAGCGCGUGUAGGCGGCCACGUUAGUCCGUUCUGAAAGCCCGGGGCUCAACCCCGGGAGGCGGAUGGAUACUGCGUGGCUCGAGUCCGGAAGAGGCGAGUGGAAUUCCUGGUGUAGCGGUGAAAUGCGCAGAUAUCAGGAGGAACACCAAUGGCGAAGGCAGCUCGCUGGGACGUGACUGACGCUGAGACGCGAAAGCGUGGGGAGCAAACAGG
This 253-nucleotide ribosomal RNA is filed under the name bacterium. RNAcentral's name for it is "partial 16S ribosomal RNA". It matches the Rfam family "Bacterial small subunit ribosomal RNA", at positions 524 to 776 of the family's 1533-position model. RNAcentral also lists the same sequence under 1 other name. The record is from RNAcentral.